CAAAGAUCAGCCACGUGGCAGUCAACCAUGUCUAUCUGACCAAGUUCCAAUGAAAACUCUGGACACCAAGGCUUGGGAGAUAUUUCUCAAAAGACUCCUCUGCGGGAGAGGAGAAUAGCUGUACUCUAAGCAGUUCGCAGGGAGCAUCUUUCAGCAGCUGAAACAGCUUUGCGGCCUUGCUGUAAUGAAGAUCUGCCAGCACCCGGUGUUGUUUCCUAAGGUGUUCAUCACCAACCUAGAACCAAACCAAAACAAGCAACAAAUCCUUCACGAGAAAGAAAGAAAACAACUGUGUAAGCAGACAUCAGUGUAAACCUUAGCACUGUCUCUUGAUGAGAUAAGAGGAGGAUGGCAGUGACAGGAGUGUGGUGGCGAGCCAGUCACCUGCAGUCAACCACGGCUCAUUGCUCUCACCAUGCCUGUUACAUGAAGUUUCAGGCAUCCACUGGGGAUCUUGGAACGCAUCCUCCAAGGAUAAGUGGGGUCUACUGUACAACACUUAAGUAUAACCCUCUUCACUAUUAACCAAAUGAUAUUAAAAUAAGCAAAGAAAAACA
Molecule: long non-coding RNA, 557 nt
Organism: Homo sapiens (human)
Lineage: Eukaryota; Metazoa; Chordata; Mammalia; Primates; Hominidae
Gene: EDRF1-AS1
Product: EDRF1 antisense RNA 1
Exons: 5
Source: RefSeq, marked validated